This 312-nucleotide ribosomal RNA is filed under the name Stenotrophomonas maltophilia. RNAcentral's name for it is "bacterial SSU rRNA". It matches the Rfam family "Bacterial small subunit ribosomal RNA", at positions 1 to 309 of the family's 1533-position model. Lineage: Bacteria; Pseudomonadati; Pseudomonadota; Gammaproteobacteria; Lysobacterales; Lysobacteraceae. The record is from RNAcentral.
UAAGUGAAGAGUUUGAUCCUGGCUCAGAGUGAACGCUGGCGGUAGGCCUAACACAUGCAAGUCGAACGGCAGCACAGGAGAGCUUGCUCUCUGGGUGGCGAGUGGCGGACGGGUGAGGAAUACAUCGGAAUCUACUCUGUCGUGGGGGAUAACGUAGGGAAACUUACGCUAAUACCGCAUACGACCUACGGGUGAAAGCAGGGGACCUUCGGGCCUUGCGCGAUUGAAUGAGCCGAUGUCGGAUUAGCUAGUUGGCGGGGUAAAGGCCCACCAAGGCGACGAUCCGUAGCUGGUCUGAGAGGAUGAUCAGCC